GAUGAACGCUAGCGGGAGGCCUAACACAUGCAAGCCGAGCGGUAUUUGUCCUUCGGGACAGAGAGAGUGGCGUACGGGUGCGGAACACGUGUGCAACCUACCUUUAUCAGGGGGAUAGCCUUUCGAAAGGAAGAUUAAUACCCCAUAAUAUAAACCAAGGCAUCUUGAUUUAUUGAAAACUCUGGUGGAUAGAGAUGGGCACGCGCAAGAUUAGAUAGUUGGCAGGGUAACGGCCUACCAAGUCAGUGAUCUUUAGGGGGCCUGAGAGGGUGAUCCCCCACACUGGUACUGAGACACGGACCAGACUCCUACGGGAGGCAGCAGUGAGGAAUAUUGGACAAUGGGUGAGAGCCUGAUCCAGCCAUCCCGCGUGAAGGACGACGGCCCUAUGGGUUGUAAACUUCUUUUGUAUAGGGAUAAACCUACUCUCGUGAGAGUAGCUGAAGGUACUAUACGAAUAAGCACCGGCUAACUCCGUGCCAGCAGCCGCGGUAAUACGGAGGGUGCAAGCGUUAUCCGGAUUUAUUGGGUUUAAAGGGUCCGUAGGCGGGCUUGUAAGUCAGUGGUGAAAUCUCAUAGCUUAACUAUGAAACUGCCAUUGAUACUGCAGGUCUUGAGUAAAGUAGAAGUGGCUGGAAUAAGUAGUGUAGCGGUGAAAUGCAUAGAUAUUACUUAGAACACCAAUUGCGAAGGCAGGUCACUAUGUUUUAACUGACGCUGAUGGACGAAAGCGUGGGGAGCGAACAGGAUUAGAUACCCUGGUAGUCCACGCCGUAAACGAUGCUAACUCGUUUUUGGGCUUUCGGGUUCAGAGACUAAGCGAAAGUGAUAAGUUAGCCACCUGGGGAGUACGUUCGCAAGAAUGAAACUCAAAGGAAUUGACGGGGGCCCGCACAAGCGGUGGAUUAUGUGGUUUAAUUCGAUGAUACGCGAGGAACCUUACCAAGGCUUAAAUGGGAAUUGACAGGUUUAGAAAUAGACUUUUCUUCGGACAAUUUUCAAGGUGCUGCAUGGUUGUCGUCAGCUCGUGCCGUGAGGUGUUAGGUUAAGUCCUGCAACGAGCGCAACCCCUGUCACUAGUUGCCAUCAUUCAGUUGGGGACUCUAGUGAGACUGCCUACGCAAGUAGAGAGGAAGGUGGGGAUGACGUCAAAUCAUCACGGCCCUUACGCCUUGGGCCACACACGUAAUACAAUGGCCGGUACAGAGGGCAGCUACCUAGCGAUAGGAUGCGAAUCUCGAAAGCCGGUCUCAGUUCGGAUUGGAGUCUGCAACUCGACUCUAUGAAGCUGGAAUCGCUAGUAAUCGCAUAUCAGCCAUGAUGCGGUGAAUACGUUCCCGGGCCU
Molecule: ribosomal RNA, 1345 nt
Filed under: uncultured bacterium
Lineage: Bacteria
Description: bacterial SSU rRNA
Rfam family: Bacterial small subunit ribosomal RNA
Source: RNAcentral